UCACAUCAACACAUAAUCACAAUAAUGCAUCAUUUUCAAUGUAUAGAUAUAUUUUUAAAGGAUAUGUGAGUAAAUCAUAGUUGUGUAUGAGAGGAUGUUUCAAUUCAAAGAGGCAGUUAUUACUAAUGAUAAUGAUCCUUCUUUUUCUUUUCAGAUUUUCCUUUUAAUGAUAAGUGCAAUAAACUAUAGCAACGUAAAGCGAAUUACUGUUAGAUGUGUGAGUUGGAAAUUUAAUUUAAUAGUACUUUGAGAUUGGAGGAAAUUGCUUUUAUAAAAUGAUAUUUAGGAGAAAGGAUAUGACUUUUUUAAAGGACGGGUAUGGAACUGUAAUAUAUGAAUGAAAUUUGGAGAAAUUAAUCGUUGUAUUAUGCAGAUAGGAAACAGAGAUUAAAGAUUAUUAAAUUAUACUAUGACAUGUAAAUGACUUUGGUUAAAUGGAUUUUUCUGGUUUAACGUGAGAUUAAUUGUUUACUUGAUACGAUGGUUGCAUGCCACCAAAUGUUUAAUCGUUAUUAACUGUCGAUAAAGAAUUUCUUAUCCUUGCAACAUAAUAAUUACCCAAGCUUAAUUCAAAUCUAAUGUUAAUCAACAAAGUAGCAAUCGCGCAUAGUGCUACUACUACUGUUACCUCGCAAACUCGAAGUUAUGGUAUCGUACGUAUAAACCAAUAAUUACGAUAAAAUCCAAUCUAGCAUGCAAUGCAUCGUUCAUUAUUCUAAUUACGGUGAGCAAUAUCUAACGUAGGUGUAAAAUUUCACCUAAGUUUCAAAGCGUUGGAUGAUUUAUGGUUACGAGAAUUUUACUAAAAUGCACUUUUAGAACGUUACUCGUCUCGUUAAUAAUUUUUUUGACACGGCAUAAACGACCCUUAUCUUAACUUCAUAAUGUACUAUGACGAGAUCCAUCUUUGAAGAAUGUCUAAUCUGAUCCUAUAAUUUAAAAAUGCUAUGAAAAGAAAUUAGAAUUAUCGAAGUUAAUUUUAACCAUAAAUCAUUUUCAGUUUGCAUUAACCGUGCCAUAACCUACGAUUCAAAAUUCCUGCCAUACAUUCGACUCAAGAGUUAAUUGCAUUAAUAGUCCAAUAAACGAAUUAAUCCUUUCUCCGCUACUCUUUACGACUCGAUGCUUCUAAAUUACAAGAAUCUCAGGAUUAAACCGUGCAACUUACACGGCACGGUUAAUUAAACGACGCGUUUUAUCGUCUGAAUAGAGUCUCCCUGCCGCGUCUCGAACCAAUCCUCCCAUUCUUAUGCAAAACUCGCGCGAUCGAUCCUAUCGAUCGAUGUUAACGAAAUACCGGUACGAAACCUCAAAAAAAAAAAAAAGGCUUGGUCUGUAAUUCAUAAGAGCCGAAACUUGGUCCGGCUAAUUCAGAAAUUGCCCUCCCCCGUAUAAUUAUAAACCGAGUGUCCACCAGUGUAUCAGGCUUUAUUAUCCUAAUUUACGCGCUCCUUAUUGCGCAAUUAGGCGACGUGAUACCGGGAUGAAUUUACGAGGGAGACGUGGAGGGAAAGGUUUCGAGAUGAUUGAAUGAUGGUUCUUGGAAAUGAUCAAAACAUCGUUUACCAGAACGAUUUAACGACUUGCCGGAGGGUUAAUGAUAUAACCAUAAUAAAGAACGAUAAUAAGCUUCGAAUCCAAGCAGGAAGUUGCUCGGUGUAUUAACUACUAAGCUUAUCCUUUAAGCUUUAAUUCCUGGUGCACUUCUCUCGGAGUUAUUCGAUAAUUUUUAAAACAUUAUCCUACUCGCAUCCCUCGAGUAAACCGAUAAAAUUCGAAAUCCAAUAUAUACAACAAUUGAAUCAAUCUCUCCUCCAUCGCGACAAGCCUCGAACCGGCUUUCCCUCGAAUCCAACUGGUGCAAAGGGAACAAGAGAAAAUUUGCAAGUAUCGGUGCUCACCAUCGAAUAUCCAGCGGCCUAUCUCAAGGAGAAUCGCUCAUAAAUAUUUAUCCGGGCGGUAUUAUCGCGAAUACAGGCCUGUCCAAGCGUUCAAGUCUCCGGAAGUCGGGCAUCGAUCCGGCCUUGAUGCACUCGUGGAUCGGUUCAUCCGGUCGGCUUAGCAGUGUGCUUGUUCAGUUUUCACGAGACUCAAAGCGAAUCGGGACUUCGCGUUAAUCCUCUCUCUUUCUCUCUCUCGCCUAGUCAACUCUGUAUAAUCUUAACUAACGAGAAAGCGGCGGGGUUGGAGUAACACACCGGCGAACCUGUGAAGCCCUGCUCUGUGAAGGGAUCGCCGUCCACGUUUCCACGACUCCUUUUUACGAAGCCACGCGGAAGGAUUAACGUCAGGGUGAUUUUCAACGUGGUUGUUGCUCUAAUGCUGGGACGAGACAGACGUGCGUUUCGUCGUACUUUUUUCUUGGUACAUUUUUAUGAUUCUGGAGUCGAGGAAGAUUGAUUUU
This 2404-nucleotide long non-coding RNA is filed under the name Apis dorsata (giant honeybee). RNAcentral's name for it is "uncharacterized LOC102677789, transcript variant X1". The record is from RNAcentral. Lineage: Eukaryota; Metazoa; Arthropoda; Insecta; Hymenoptera; Apidae.